RNAcentral lists this ribosomal RNA (238 nucleotides) under uncultured bacterium. RNAcentral's name for it is "partial 16S ribosomal RNA". It matches the Rfam family "Bacterial small subunit ribosomal RNA", at positions 15 to 248 of the family's 1533-position model. The record is from RNAcentral.
GAUCAUGGCUCAGAUUGAACGCUGGCGGCAGGCCUAACACAUGCAAGUCGAACGGUAACAGGAAACAGCUUGCUGUUUCGCUGACGAGUGGCGGACGGGUGAGUAAUGUCUGGGAAACUGCCUGAUGGAGGGGGAUAACUACUGGAAACGGUAGCUAAUACCGCAUAAUGUCGCAAUACCAAAGAGGGGGACCUUCGGGCCGUCUUGCCAUCGGAUGUGUCCAGAUGGGAUUAGCUAG